RNAcentral lists this unclassified non-coding RNA (329 nucleotides) under soil metagenome. RNAcentral describes it as "partial contains 5.8S ribosomal RNA, internal transcribed spacer 2, and large subunit ribosomal RNA". The stretch from base 1 to 120 matches the Rfam family "5.8S ribosomal RNA", at positions 35 to 154 of the family's 154-position model. The record is from RNAcentral.
GAUGAAGAACGUAGCGAAAUGCGAUAAGUAGUGUGAAUUGCAGAAUUCAGUGAAUCAUCGAAUCUUUGAACGCACAUUGCGCCCCUUGGUAUCCCGAGGGGCAUGCCUGUUCGAGCGUCAUUUCACCACUCAAGCCUGGCUUGGUGUUGGGCGACGUCCCCUUUGGGGACGCGCCUCGAAACGCUCGGCGGCGUGGAACCGGCUUUAAGCGUAGCAGAAUCUUUCGCUUUGGAAGUCGGGGCCCCGUCUGCCGGAAGACCUACUCGCAAGGUUGACCUCGGAUCAGGCAGGGAUACCCGCUGAACUUAAGCAUAUCAAUAAGCGGAGGA